Molecule: non-coding RNA, 91 nt
Filed under: Allorhizobium ampelinum S4
Lineage: Bacteria; Pseudomonadati; Pseudomonadota; Alphaproteobacteria; Hyphomicrobiales; Rhizobiaceae
Source: RNAcentral
AUGCUGAAAAAAAGAUCAAUAAAAUCAGAUAGUUACAAGCAAAAGUGUCAAACCUUUGGGUUGGGUUUGACACUUUAUGUUCUACUUUUAC